GACGAACCGUCCAAACGUUAUUCGGAAUCACUGGGCUUAAAGGGUGCGUAGGCGGUCCGGCAAGUUGGGCGUGAAAGCCCUCGGCUCAACCGAGGAACUGCGUUCAAAACUGCCGGGCUCGAGGGAGACAUAGGUGAGCGGAACUUAGGGUGGAGCGGUGAAAUGCGUUGAGAUCCUAAGGAACACCAGUAGCGAAAGCGGCUCACUGGGUCUCUUCUGACGCUGAGUGCACGAAAGCUAGGGGAGCGAAGAGGAUUAGAUACCCUCGUAGUCCUAGCCGUAAACAAUGAGCACUGGUUUGGAGGGUCCUCCAUAGCCUUCCAGACGUAGCGAAAGUGUUAAGUGCUCCGCCUGGGGAGUAUGGUCGCAAGGCUGAA
RNAcentral lists this ribosomal RNA (377 nucleotides) under uncultured bacterium. RNAcentral's name for it is "bacterial SSU rRNA". It matches the Rfam family "Bacterial small subunit ribosomal RNA", at positions 524 to 898 of the family's 1533-position model. The record is from RNAcentral.